AAGACCUUGCGCUUUUGGAGCGGCCGAUGUCUGAUUAGCUAGUUGGUGGGGUAAUGGCCUACCAAAGCUUCGAUCAGUAGCUGGUCUGAGAGGACGGCCAGCCACACUGGGACUGAGACACGGCCCAGACUCCUACGGGAGGCAGCAGUGGGGAAUUUUGGACAAUGGGCGCAAGCCUGAUCCAGCCAUGCCGCGUGAGUGAAGAAGGCCUUCGGGUUGUAAAGCUCUUUCAGCCGGGAAGAAAAGGCUGSGACUAAUAAUYGCAGUUCAUGACGGUACCGGAAGAAGAAGCACCGGCUAACUACGUGCCAGCAGCCGCGGUAAUACGUAGGGUGCGAGCGUUAAUCGGAAUUACUGGGCGUAAAGGGUGCGCAGGCGGUUUUGUAAGUCAGAUGUGAAAUCCCCGGGCUUAACCUGGGAACU
This 423-nucleotide ribosomal RNA is filed under the name uncultured bacterium. RNAcentral's name for it is "bacterial SSU rRNA". It matches the Rfam family "Bacterial small subunit ribosomal RNA", at positions 207 to 622 of the family's 1533-position model. The record is from RNAcentral.